This 254-nucleotide ribosomal RNA is filed under the name uncultured prokaryote. RNAcentral describes it as "partial 16S ribosomal RNA". It matches the Rfam family "Bacterial small subunit ribosomal RNA", at positions 524 to 777 of the family's 1533-position model. The record is from RNAcentral.
UACAGAGGGUGCGAGCGUUGUCCGGAAUCACUGGGCGUAAAGGGCGCGUAGGUGGCUACCCAAGUCCGUGGUGAAAUCUCGUCGCUCAACGACGAGUCGGCCACGGAGACUGGGUGGCUCGAGCACUGUAGGGGCAGAUGGAAUUCCGGGUGUAGCGGUGGAAUGCGUAGAGAUCCGGAAGAACACCAGUGGCGAAGGCGGUCUGCUGGGCAGUUGCUGACACUGAUGCGCGACAGCGUGGGGAGCAAACAGGA